AGUACAGACGAGUUUGAUCAUGGCUCAGGAUGAACGCUAGCGGCAGGCCUAACACAUGCAAGUCGAGGGGUAGAGUUCUUCGGGACUUGAGACCGGCGCACGGGUGCGUAACGCGUAUGCAAUCUACCUUAUACAGGGGAAUAGCCCAGAGAAAUUUGGAUUAAUGCCCCAUAGUGUUAUAGAAUCGCAUGGUUUUAUAACUAAAGUUCCAACGGUAUAAGAUGAGCAUGCGUCCCAUUAGUUAGUUGGUAAGGUAACGGCUUACCAAGACAAUGAUGGGUAGGGGUCCUGAGAGGGAGGUCCCCCCACACUGGUACUGAGACACGGACCAGACUCCUACGGGAGGCAGCAGUGAGGAAUAUUGGUCAAUGGGCGCAAGCCUGAACCAGCCAUGCCGCGUGCAGGAAGACGGUCCUAUGGAUUGUAAACUGCUUUUAUACAGGAAGAAACCUCCCUACGUGUAGGGACUUGACGGUACUGUAGGAAUAAGGAUCGGCUAACUCCGUG
This 507-nucleotide ribosomal RNA is filed under the name uncultured bacterium. Its description in RNAcentral is "bacterial SSU rRNA". It matches the Rfam family "Bacterial small subunit ribosomal RNA", at positions 1 to 507 of the family's 1533-position model. The record is from RNAcentral.